UGGGGAAUAUUGCACAAUGGGCGCAAGCCUGAUGCAGCCAUGCCGCGUGUUGUGAAGAAGGCCUUCGGGUUGUAAAGCACUUUCAGCGAGGAGGAAGGUGGUGAACUUAAUACGUUCAUCAAUUGACGUUACUCGCAGAAGAAGCACCGGCUAACUCCGUGCCAGCAGCCGCGGUAAUACGGAGGGUGCAAGCGUUAAUCGGAAUUACUGGGCGUAAAGCGCACGCAGGCGGUUUGUUAAGUCAGAUGUGAAAUCCCCGGGCUCAACCUGGGAACUGCAUUUGAAACUGGCAGCUAGAGUCUCGUAGAGGGGGGUAGAAUUCCAGGUGUAGCGGUGAAAUGCGUAGAGAUCUGGAGGAAUACCGGUGGCGAAGGCGGCCCCCUGGACGAAGACUGACGCUCAGGUGCGAAAAGCGUGGGGAGCAAACAGGAUUAGAUACCCCUGGUAGUCCACGCUGUAAAACGAUGUCGAUUUUGGAGGUUGUGCCCCUUGAGGCGU
This 498-nucleotide ribosomal RNA is filed under the name uncultured bacterium. RNAcentral's name for it is "partial 16S ribosomal RNA". It matches the Rfam family "Bacterial small subunit ribosomal RNA", at positions 355 to 840 of the family's 1533-position model. The record is from RNAcentral.